UACGGAGGGAGCUAGCGUUGUUCGGAAUUACUGGGCGUAAAGCGCACGUAGGCGGCUUUGUAAGUUAGAGGUGAAAGCCCGGGGCUCAACUCCGGAACUGCCUUUAAGACUGCAUCGCUUGAAUCCAGGAGAGGUGAGUGGAAUUCCGAGUGUAGAGGUGAAAUUCGUAGAUAUUCGGAAGAACACCAGUGGCGAAGGCGGCUCACUGGACUGGUAUUGACGCUGAGGUGCGAAAGCGUGGGGAGCAAACCGG
Molecule: ribosomal RNA, 253 nt
Filed under: uncultured bacterium
Lineage: Bacteria
Description: partial 16S ribosomal RNA
Rfam family: Bacterial small subunit ribosomal RNA
Source: RNAcentral